RNAcentral lists this ribosomal RNA (497 nucleotides) under uncultured bacterium. Its description in RNAcentral is "bacterial SSU rRNA". It matches the Rfam family "Bacterial small subunit ribosomal RNA", at positions 30 to 507 of the family's 1533-position model. The record is from RNAcentral.
UGAACGCUGGCGGCGUGCUUAACACAUGCAAGCGAGCGAGAAAGUCGACUUCGGUCGAUGAGUAAAGCGGCGAACGGGUGAGUAACACGUGGGUAACCUGCCUAGAAUGGGGGAUAACCUGGGGAAACUCGGGCUAAUACCGCAUACGACCGCGGCACUGCGUGCUGUGAGGAAAGCUGGUCAAUGCUUGCAAACUGGCGCUUUUAGAGGGGCACGCGCCCGAUUAGGUAGUUGGUGAGGUAACGGCUCACCAAGCCGACGAUCGGUAGCCGGCCUGAGAGGGCGAUCGGCCACACUGGGACUGAGACACGGCCCAGACUCCUACGGGAGGCAGCAGUGGGGAAUAUUGGACAAUGGGGGCAACCCUGAUCCAGCAACGCCGUGUGGAGGACGAAGGUUUUCGGAUCGUAAACUCCUGUCAGUUGGGACGAAAAGCUGUCGGUCAAUAGCCGGCAGUCAUGACGGUACCAGCAGAGGAAGCCCCGGCUAACUCCGUG